This 74-nucleotide transfer RNA is filed under the name bacterium. RNAcentral's name for it is "tRNA-Val". It matches the Rfam family "tRNA". From Rfam's summary of the family: Transfer RNA (tRNA) molecules are approximately 80 nucleotides in length. RNAcentral also lists the same sequence under 3 other names. The record is from RNAcentral.
GAGCGCGUAGCUCAGCUGGCUAGAGCGCCUGGUUUACACCCAGGAGGUCGCAGGUUCGAGCCCUGCCGCGCUCA